Molecule: ribosomal RNA, 504 nt
Filed under: uncultured bacterium
Lineage: Bacteria
Description: partial 16S ribosomal RNA
Rfam family: Bacterial small subunit ribosomal RNA
Source: RNAcentral
AUUGAACGCUGGCGGCAGGCCUAACACAUGCAAGUCGAACGGUAGCACAGAGAGCUUGCUCUCGGGUGACGAGUGGCGGACGGGUGAGUAACGUCUGGGAAGCUGCCCGAUGGAGGGGGAUAACUACUGGAAACGGUAGCUAAUACCGCAUAACGUCGCAAGACCAAAGUGGGGGACCUUCGGGCCUCACACCAUCGGAUGUGCCCAGAUGGGAUUAGCUAGUAGGUGGGGUAAUGGCUCACCUAGGCGACGAUCCCUAGCUGGUCUGAGAGGAUGGCCAGCCACACUGGAACUGAGACACGGUCCAGACUCCUACGGGAGGCAGCAGUGGGGAAUAUUGCACAAUGGGCGCAAGCCUGAUGCAGCCAUGCCGCGUGUAUGAAGAAGGCCUUCGGGUUGUAAAGUACUUUCAGCGGGGAGGAAGGCGGUGAAGUUAAUAGCUUCACCGAUUGACGUUACCCGCAGAAGAAGCACCGGCUAACUCCGUGCCAGCAGCCGCCGUAA